GGGAGGGGGAUGCACACUGUCUUCACGGAGCUCACAGAGGUGAAGGACAGAGAGGGGUGUAAGAACGAGUGACGGACAAACGGGACACGAAGGUGCAGGGAAGGCUUGGCUCCGAGAGCCAAAGGAAGAAACCCAAUUGCCCCAAGGGUCCCUGUCGCCAUCCGUGUGAGCAGAGCCACCCUGUAUGUAGCUGGACUACUCUGAGGUUGUCACGCUGGAGAGGCCACAUGCAUGGGAGCUCUGGAUGAUGGAACCUGCUGAGCCCAGCCUUCCAGUCAUGCCAAGAUGUCAGACAUAAGAGUGAAG
Molecule: long non-coding RNA, 306 nt
Organism: Zalophus californianus (California sea lion)
Lineage: Eukaryota; Metazoa; Chordata; Mammalia; Carnivora; Otariidae
Exons: 3
Source: RefSeq, a predicted model, not a curated record